UGUCAAUACACCGUCAUCUUCUGAGCUUAAGCAUUAAGGUAAUCCACCUUGGGAUUACGUCAGCAAUGAUGUAACUCAAAGGUAUUGACGGGGUCCCGCACAAUCGGAGGAACAUGUGGUUUAAUUCGAUGAUACGCGAGGAACCGUACCUGGGCUUAAAUGUUUAGUGAUCGACCGGGAGACCGGUUUUUCCUUCGGGACACUUUACAAGGUGCUGCAUGGUUGUCGUCAGCUCGUGCCGUGAGGUGUCGGGUUAAGUCCCAUUAACGAGCGCAACCCCUAUCGCCAGUUGCCAGCACAUAAUGGUGGGAACUCUGGUGAAACUGCCGGUGCAAACCGUGAGGAAGGUGGGGAUGACGUCAAAUCAGCACGGCCCUUAUGUCCAGGGCUACACACGUGUUACAAUGGUCGGUACAACAGGAUGCCAAUCCGCAAGGAUGAGCUAAUCCCAAAAGCCGAUCUUAGUUCGGAUCGGAGUCUGCAAUUCGACUCCGUGAAGUUGGAUUCGCUAGUAAUCGCAGAUCAGCCAUGCUGCGGUGAUACGUUCCCGGGCAUUGUACACACCGCCCGUCAAGCCAUGGAGCCGGGGGUGCCUGAAGUCCGUAACCGUAAGGAGCGGCCCAGGGUAAACCGCUAACUGGGGCUAAGUC
RNAcentral lists this ribosomal RNA (650 nucleotides) under uncultured organism. RNAcentral's name for it is "bacterial SSU rRNA". It matches the Rfam family "Bacterial small subunit ribosomal RNA", at positions 828 to 1487 of the family's 1533-position model. The record is from RNAcentral.